CUUCUGUAUAAUGCCCUCCCACAUAUCAGGGGUGCUUCUUGGAUAAUGAACAGAGCCAGAAAACAGAAUUUUUCUUUGUCCAUUGAUAAUGAGAGAUUUCUUAUCAUAACUAACACUACAAUAACAAAUCUUAGACCCAAAAAUCAACACAAAAAAUAUCAAGAACCAUUUGGUAUUGAUACCCAUUUUGAUUUUACUUAAAAAAAGAAUAUGCAAUAUGCUUAUCUCACAACAAUGGUGGAGAAAGCAAAGUGGGAAAUGAUAAAAUGUGAAUAAAGAAGAAAGAGAGAAGGCCUGCAAAAGUGCAAACAAAAAAGGACACUGACAAGAAUUCACAAAAGGCUAAGAAUGUCUGUGACAGAUAAUCACACACACUGAGAAAGAAAGAAAAAAAGUAACAGUAUUUUGGAUUUUGUUACUCUGCAUUUGACAAUACUCAAUG
This 442-nucleotide unclassified non-coding RNA is filed under the name Hevea brasiliensis (rubber tree). The record is from RNAcentral. Lineage: Eukaryota; Viridiplantae; Streptophyta; Magnoliopsida; Malpighiales; Euphorbiaceae.